CACGGGGGGAGCAAGCGUUGUUCGGAUUCAUUGGGCGUAAAGGGCUCGUAGGUGGCUUUGUAAGUCGGAGGUGAAAUCCCACGGCUCAACCGUGGACACGCCUUCGAAACCGUGGAGCUUGAGGCUGGGAGAGGAGAUCGGAAUUCCUGGUGUAGCGGUGAAAUGCGCAGAUAUCAGGAAGAACACCCGUGGCGAAGGCGGCUCUCUGGGACGGUACUGACGCUGAGACGCGAAAGCGUGGGGAGCGAACAGG
Molecule: ribosomal RNA, 253 nt
Filed under: uncultured bacterium
Lineage: Bacteria
Description: partial 16S ribosomal RNA
Rfam family: Bacterial small subunit ribosomal RNA
Source: RNAcentral